UAAACGGCCCUUUUCAGGGCCACAAAAUUAUCACGAGAGAGUUAUU
This is a regulatory RNA element of Culex pipiens (northern house mosquito), 46 nucleotides long. It matches the Rfam family "Histone 3' UTR stem-loop". Rfam says of the family: The mRNAs of metazoan histone genes lack a poly-A tail. NCBI's taxonomy places the organism in Eukaryota, Metazoa, Arthropoda, Insecta, Diptera, Culicidae. The record is from Rfam.